RNAcentral lists this ribosomal RNA (376 nucleotides) under uncultured bacterium. RNAcentral describes it as "bacterial SSU rRNA". It matches the Rfam family "Bacterial small subunit ribosomal RNA", at positions 524 to 898 of the family's 1533-position model. The record is from RNAcentral.
UACGGGGGGUGCAAGCGUUGUUCGGAAUUAUUGGGCGUAAAGAGCGUGUAGGCGGCCGAGCAAGUCAGAUGUGAAAUCCCCGGGCUUAACCCGGGAAGUGCAUUUGAAACUGCUAGGCUUGAGUAGGGGAGAGGAAAGUGGAAUUCCUGGUGUAGAGGUGAAAUUCGUAGAUAUCAGGAGGAACACCGGUGGCGAAGGCGACUUUCUGGCCCUAUACUGACGCUGAGACGCGAGAGCGUGGGUAGCAAACAGGAUUAGAUACCCUGGUAGUCCACGCCGUAAACGAUGUUCACUAGGUGUUGGGGGUAUUGACCCUCUCAGUGCCGCAGCUAACGCAUUAAGUAUUCCACCUGAGUAGUACGGUCGCAAGACUGAA